Molecule: long non-coding RNA, 1054 nt
Organism: Brassica napus (rape)
Lineage: Eukaryota; Viridiplantae; Streptophyta; Magnoliopsida; Brassicales; Brassicaceae
Exons: 2
Source: RefSeq, a predicted model, not a curated record
ACAAUGUCUUUCCAAAUAUGUAUAUUAUUUAUUAUUGUGUUCUAUUGUGUAGUCCACAAAACUAUCAAGUUAUAUCAUUAAUAAUAUUUUUCAAAAAACUGUAAACAAGUGUGAUAUGUAUUACUGCAAAUUAUCAUAAUAUUUUUAUGUGAAUCUGUAAAAUUGAUGUAUCUAUAAUUUUUGGAAAAUUAUAAUUUAUUACAAACUAAUUAAUAAUCAAUAUAUAAAAAUUUAAAUUUGCUUGCAUUUCUUAAUUCAUAAAUAUAUACAUAAGUUUUAUCAUAAGUUUUAAUUAAACCAAGUUUUUGUUGUUUUAACGAAAUUGUAAUUUUAGUUAAAAGCAAAUAAUUACUAUAUCUCUCCAUCUCUCUUUUUUCAAAAAAAAAAAAAUAAUAGUAUACCAACAAAUUUGCGGAGACCGGUUUUCUUUGCUUUGACAGCACUUGAACAAAUUUCCCAUCUCUCUUUUGUUGUCAUUCUUCUUUUUAAAGUGAGGUUCAUCUUGGUUUGAUUUCUAAUGGUAUGUGGCUGAGAAGCCAUGGAAGCAUGUGAGGCGUAGAACUUCAGAUCCGAUUUUAUCCUUCCAUGUGUUGAAGCCUAAAUUCCAGAUAUGUCUGAUUGACGGUUGAGUUAAUCCAUUUGUCUGGUUUCGUUUGGGUUAAAUGAUGUUGCUGCUGCUUUAUCCGACGUUUUCUGCUUUGCUGGUUUGUCAAGUUUACGAGCGAUGGCGGGAACUUCGUUUAUGUUGCCGCAGCUUCAUUAUUAGUUGCCGUGCUAACUUCCCUACAUGAUCAAGAAAGAAGCAUGUGAUGUAUUAAGAAAGACUGAGCAGAAUUUUGACAUUUCGUACGCAGUAAAUAGUUGCCUAAUUAAGAGGUUACGUGACUUCAAGUACUAGUUCUCUAUGCGUGAUUUCAAACUAUGUUCCAAUAUAGAGAUAGUAUAGUAAGAGUUAAUACAGUGGUAACAUAGGUCACUGAAAAUUAAAUUACAAAAAGUACGCAAGCUCUGUUUGUGUAAUAAAUAAUAUUAAAAGAUUAAGUGACUUCAAGUA